This 101-nucleotide non-coding RNA is filed under the name Alloactinosynnema sp. L-07. RNAcentral's name for it is "Glycine riboswitch aptamer". It matches the Rfam family "Glycine riboswitch aptamer". Rfam says of the family: This family represents the bacterial glycine riboswitch. Lineage: Bacteria; Bacillati; Actinomycetota; Actinomycetes; Pseudonocardiales; Pseudonocardiaceae. RNAcentral also lists the same sequence under 1 other name. The record is from Rfam by way of RNAcentral.
UGAACCCACGCGGGAGAGAUCGAGCGGUCACCCGACCGACUCGACGCCGAAGGAGCAAAUCCUCCCCGGAACCUCUCAGGCAAAAGGACCGCGUGGGCGAG